GGAGAUGAGAGCCAUCUGGCUGCAACAUCUCUCACCCUACUGAUCACCAGGGUUGAUUCAGCGGAUCUGGCUGGGUAGGCAGGUGUCUCUUUCAUCCCUCACUACUCCAUGUGUGUCCUUCCCCAAAGAUGCACAUUUGGCCAAAGAGGAAAACUUUCCUUCCAAAAAGAUGGACCAAAUAGAGAUAGUCAAGGAUCUAUGAGUAGCUGUGGCCCCUGCUAGAACCUCUGAACUAGCUCUCAAGGAAUGCAGCUCUGAGAAUGACGUGGGGAAAGAACAAACAAGCAUUCAAGCACAAGGU
This 301-nucleotide small nuclear RNA is filed under the name Erinaceus europaeus (western European hedgehog). RNAcentral describes it as "7SK RNA (ENSEEUG00000020033.1)". It matches the Rfam family "7SK RNA". From Rfam's summary of the family: 7SK was discovered as an abundant small nuclear RNA in the mid-70s but a possible function has only recently been suggested. Two independent studies have found that 7SK RNA binds the CDK9/cyclin T complex (known as elongation factor P-TEFb). Lineage: Eukaryota; Metazoa; Chordata; Mammalia; Eulipotyphla; Erinaceidae. The record is from RNAcentral.